AUCCCGGGCCUUGGGCGGUUUCGCACGACCACGCGGGGCUGGGAGGUCGCGUAGAACUCUGGGAGUUGUAGUCUUAGGGUUGUAAUGCGCUAUCUCGCGCACUGCACAUCGGGAGUUGUAGUUCUAGAUUGAGGAACGGGAAGUGCUUCCAAGGGUCCAUUUUGAGCCCUGGAAACUACAAUGACCAAAGGGCCACGGGUUCCUGGGCCGUUUCUCAUUUCCGUCGAGUUAAACGUCUGGGGCUGCUUCUGAGGAAUCUGCUUGACUGGCCAGCAAGUUCAGCUCCGGCAAGUCAUUUGAUUCACCCGGGGAUGAAAUGGGGGUCAACCAGUCUGUGGGUUUUCCACCUGUCACAGGACCCCACCUCGUAGGCUGUGGAGAUGUGAUGGAGGGUCAGAGUCUCCAGGGGAGCUUCUUUCGACUCUUCUACCCCUGCCAAAAGGCAGAGGAGACCAUGGAGCAGCCCCUGUGGAUUCCCCGCUAUGAGUACUGCACUGGCCUGGCCGAGUACCUGCAGUUUAAUAAGCGCUGGGGGGGCUUGCUGUUCAACCUGGCUGUGGGAUCUUGUCGCCUGCCUGUUAGCUGGAAUGGCCCUUUUAAGACAAAGGACUCUGGAUACCCCUUGAUCAUCUUCUCCCAUGGCCUAGGAGCCUUCAGGACUUUGUAUUCAGCCUUCUGCAUGGAGCUGGCCUCACGUGGCUUUGUGGUUGCUGUGCCAGAGCACAGGGACCGGUCAGCGGCAACCACCUAUUUCUGCAAGCAGGCCCCAGAAGAGAACCGGCCCACCAAUGAAUUCCUGGAGGAGGAAUGGAUCCCUUUCCGUCGAGUUGAGGAAGGGGAGAAGGAAUUUCAUGUUCGGAAUCCGCAGGUGCAUCAGCGGGUAAGCGAGUGUUUACGGGUGUUGAAGAUCCUGCAAGAGGUCACUGCUGGGCAGACUGUCUUCAACAUCUUGCCUGGUGGCUUGGAUCUGAUGACUUUGAAGGGCAACAUUGACAUGAGCCGUGUGGCUGUGAUGGGACAUUCAUUUGGAGGGGCCACAGCUAUUCUGGCUUUGGCCAAGGAGACCCAAUUUCGGUGUGCGGUGGCUCUGGAUGCUUGGAUGUUUCCUCUGGAACGUGACUUUUACCCCAAGGCCCGAGGACCUGUGUUCUUUAUCAAUACUGAGAAAUUCCAGACAAUGGAGAGUGUCAAUUUGAUGAAGAAGAUAUGUGCCCAGCAUGAACAGUCUAGGAUCAUAACCGUUCUUGGUUCUGUUCAUCGGAGUCAAACUGACUUUGCUUUUGUGACUGGCAACUUGAUUGGUAAAUUCUUCUCCACUGAAACCCGUGGGAGCCUGGACCCCUAUGAAGGGCAGGAGGUUAUGGUACGGGCCAUGUUGGCCUUCCUGCAGAAGCACCUCGACCUGAAAGAAGACUAUAAUCAAUGGAACAACCUUAUUGAAGGCAUUGGACCAUCGCUCACCCCAGGGGCCCCCCACCAUCUGUCCAGCCUGUAGGCACAACUGGCCAUUUGUAAAGUCACUUCAGCCAAGUUUUCAUUUGGGAGCUACCCAAGGGCACCCAUGAGUUCCUAUCAGGAAGUGAUCAACGUGACUCCUUGUCACAGAUUGAAAGGUGUAAUCACACUGCUGCUUGGAUAACUGGGUACUUUGAUCUAUCUUAGAUUUGGUCUUAAAAUCACUUUGGGACUGGGAUCCCUUGCUGAUUGACAAACAGACUUUCUGGGGCCUUCAUGGAGUGGGGAACAAGCAGUAGAGUGGGACUGGGGGAGACCCAGGCCCCGGGCUGAGCACUGUGAGGCCUGGAUGUGAAGACUCAGCCCAGCGAGCUCAUUCCCUCACCCCCGGCCAGUGCUGCUGCUUCAGUGGAAGAGAUGAAGCCAAAGGAUAGAGUGAAAAUCCCUACUCCAGAGACUCUAGCCCAGCCCAACACCAUCUCUUCCUACUUCUCAGCCUUCUCCCUCCCCAGGGCCACUUGUUGAAGUCUGAGCACUUUAUGUAAAUUUCUAGGUAUGAGCCAUGAUCACAUUUUCUAUUUAUUUCCAAGUCUUCUCAUUGUAUGGAACAUACUACUACUUAUACUUACAGUAGUAAGUUAUACUUGUGAGCCCACAGAGUGGCAGACAGCAUGGCUCUCACAGCACAGGGAGAAAAACUGAGGUACAAAGAGGUACCUCAGAAGCUCUGGUUGUCUUUGGGGGUUUUGCUAAGUGUAUCUUGAUAGGAAACAACACAAGCAGGUUGAGAUGGGAAAGAUGACAGAACAACAGUGUUAAAUGGCCAUUUGCACAGGCCUUUGCCACAACAGAGAAGUAGUUUGGUCAGUUAAAACUCAGCUGCAGCCUGGACAGUAGAGCGAGACCCCAUCUUAAAAAUAAAGAAGGCUGGGCGUGGUGGCUCAUGCCUAUAAUCCCAGCACUUUGGGAGGCCAAGGCAGGCAGAUCACUUAAGGCCAGGAGUUCGAGACCACCUGGCCAAUAUGGUGAAACCCCGUCUCUACUAAAAAUACAAAAAAUUAGGCCGGGCGCGGUGGCUCACGCUUGUAAUCCCAGCACUUUGGGAGGCCGAGGCGGGCGGAUCACGAGGUCAGGAGAUCGAGACCACGGUGAAACCCCGUCUCUACUAAAAAUACAAAAAAUUAGCCAGGCGUGGUGGCGGGCGCCUGUAGUCCCAGCUACACGGAGAGGCUGAGGCAGGAGAAUGGCGUGAACCCGGGAGGCGGAGCUUGCAGUGAGCCGAGAUUGCGCCACUGCACUCCAGCCUGGGCGACAGAGCAAGACUCCGUCUCAAAAAAAAAAAAAAAAAAAAAAAAUACAAAAAAUUAGCCUGGCGUGAUGGCAGGUGCCUGUAAUCCCAGCUACUCAUGAGGCUGAAGCAGAAGAAUCACUUGAACCCAGGAGGCAGAGGUUGCAGUGAGUCAAGAUCAUGCCACUGCACUCCAGCCUGGACGACAGAGCAAGACUCUGUCACAAAAAACAAAAAAAAGAAAGAAAGAAAGAAAAAGAAAAAUUUAAAAUAAAUAAAAUCUAAAAACCCAGAAGGCCACUCCCAGAGAGGCCUAGGAGUACCUUGGUCACUUUUCUUGCCUCAAAUAUUAUAAACCUCCAACUUGCUCAGAAUCAGGAUGCUUUUAUUGUCUGUUUUCUGGCUCUGAGGCCCUCGCCCCAAAUUUAAGUCAGAUACAGACUGAAUUUCCAUUCUGUUCCAUUUAUAAUGUGAAUGAUAUUAAUACUCUUGUUUGCUUAAUGUUAUGUUGGAAUUUUCUGUUUAAUCUGCAGUAGAGCAAGAUGGAGAGCCAUCUGGAAUUGACUUCCUUCUGUCUUUCUUCUGUGUUCGCUUACUACUUGGGCCCAUGUGGGAAAAAAACUUUAAAAGGAAGGAAGUCUUCUUAGGGAUCCAGUUCAAAGCUAUUUGGGGGCAUCAAACUGAAACUCUCCUCUCCACUACUCAAGACUUCAUGCCUCAGUCCAAGUAGGAUCCAGGCUGGUAGAGCUGCCAUUAUCAGGAAGUGUUGCUGUUCAACAUGGUGGAGCAGGAAGAAAGCCUGAUGAAUCACCUGCUAGCUCUGAGAGCUUCUGCCCGGGAGUGACUCUCGUUAUUUCUGUUCAUGUGUCAUAAGCCAAAGCACAUCCUGUGGCCAUUCCUAACAUCCCAUGCCAUCCCAAGAGAGCCAAAAUAUUUGUGACCAGGUCUCAUGUCAGAGAAGUGGUGCCUUCUGAUCUAGGAAGGUGCAGAAAGCUGUUUGACUUGCAUGGGGUUGCCCCCUGUGCUGCAUUGCUGUUCAGAGUUGGUGUUGUCUCAUUUGUGGUCAGGCUGCAAUCAUCACUCUUCAACGCACCAGCCCCUAGCAGCCCUCCCUGGCCACUUCAAGUUUAUGACUUUCCAUGUGCAGUGGACUGAUAAAUCAGCCACAUUAUUUAAAACUCUGUCUAAGGGAAAACAAGGCAGUCAGUGAGCGAGGGUUUUAGGGACUCUCUUGCAGCUAAAGUAUGUCACCUUUAGCGCAUGGGCUUUGUAAUCCUCUGACUGCACCAGAAGGGGUAUCACGAGGCCUUUGGUCCCUCGUUCUGGUUUUUGGUUAGCUUCUAGGGGACUGAAGGACACUUCAUAAAUGGCCUUUAGAUAAGCAAGGAAAUCCUGAUGGUAACUGACAUGUGCUGAUAAAUCGCAUCCUAGUGAAUCUUUUCCAGAAAGAGGAUGUCUUGGGUUUCUUUUUUUUUUGUAUUUUUUAGUAGAGACGGGGUUUCACCAUGUUAGCCAGGAUGGUCUCGAUCUCCUGACCUCGUGAUCCACCCGCCUCGGCCUCCCAAAGUGCUGGGAUUACAGGCGUGAGCCACCGCGCCCGGCCUGUCUUGGAUUUCUUUGGCAUCUUCUCGUUCCCCAUCCCACUGCAGGACUCUGUGCCUAUGGAGGCCUCCUAGUGCUAUAAUAUGAAGUUUCUGUGCAUGGGAUGGUAAGCCAGUUAGGAAGGAAGGUAAGUAAAUAUCCCUUGCACUUCCUGAACUUGUCAGACUAAGGCUGCUUGGAUUCUUGCUGUGUCCCUAACGCAAUCCCUGAGCCCCUUUCCACUGUGCUUUCUGACACAGCUCCCCCUCUUGUCCUUCCUCAGAAAUUCUAUUGGGCUCUUGAAAUGUGAAAUGAUGGAUUCCAACUCCCUGUCUUGACCUUGUGGGGACCUUCAUCUACCCCACUUUUUUCUGGAGCACCACUUAUCCCUAGGCUCACAAAGUGACAGAGCAACAGGAGAGGCCAUACUGUAUGUUUGGGACUCAUCCUCAUUAGGAAGCUCACUUUCUAUCCCAUCAUAGCCAGGUGCAGAGGGCAGCUGUCCCUGGCCAUAGCUGCAGGGCACAGUGACAAUGAAGGUGCUGAGGAUGAUUAUCACUGUGUGUCAGGACCGUGCUCUGGGCUGACAUGCAUCAUUUCACUUACUUCUCACGGUAACCCCACCAGCUCAGGUGGCAUUGGCCUCAUUUUAUGUAGGAGGAAACAGAGGCUUUAGGAAGUGAUUUCAUCAGGCUCUCAGCAAGAAUUUGGCAAAGCUGGGACGUAGGCAUCAAAGUUUGAGGGUUUUUUUUGUUGUUGUUGUUGUUGUUGUUGUUGUUUUUUUUUUUUGAGACGGAGUUUUGCUCUUGUUGCCCAGGCUGGAGUGCAAUGACAUGAUCUUGGCUCACUGCAACCUCUGCCUUCUGGGUUCAAGCAAUUCUCCUGCCUCAGCCUCCCAGAGUUGCUGGGAUUAUAGGCAUGUGCCACCACGCCCAGCUAAUUUUUGUAUUUUUAGUAGAGACGGGGUUUCACCAUGUUGGUUAGGCUGGUCUCGAACUCCUGACCUCAGGGGAUCCACCCGCCUCAGCCUCCCAAAGUGCUGGGAUUACAGGCACGAGCCACCUUGCCCAGCCAAGGGUUUUUGUUUUGUUUUGUUUUCUUGAGAUGGUCUCCUGUCACCCAGGCUGGAGUGCAGUGGCGCGAUCACAGCUCACUGCAGCCUCGACCUCCCAGCCUUAAUCCAUCUGCCUGCCUCAGCCUCCUGAGUAGCUGGGACCGCAAGCGCACACCACCAUGCCCGGCUAAUAAAAUCUGAGCUCUUAAUUACUGUGCUAUCAACCCUAAUAUACAUACUUGGCUUUGUAGUUUCUCCCAUUUCUUCAAACUCUCAGGAUGUAGGGAAUGUAUUAAUCUCAUGAUCAAUUAGCUAAAAAAUAUCAAAAUCUUCAGCAACUUCUACAUGACCUGUGUUGAGUUUCAGUGAUAUCCUCAGCGUUAUUGAGAAAUGGGUUGGGGGAGAAAAACGGCUUCAACAGAAACUGGGUCAGGUACUUGGUUGAUGGGUUGGGGGUGGGGGUUUUUUUGUUUUUUGUUUGUUUUUGAGACAGUGUCACUCUGUUGCCCAGGCUGGAGUGCAGUGGCAUGAUCACUGCUCAUUGUACCCUCAACCUCCCAGACUUAAGCAAUCCUCCUACCUCGGCCUUCCAAGUAGCUGGGACUACAGGUACAUACCACCACACCUGGCUAAUUUUUUGUUUAUUUUUUGUAAAGACAGGGGUCUGUCUGUGUUGCCAGGGCUGGUCUCAAACUCCUGGGCUCCAAUGAUCCUCCUGCCUCAGCCUCCCAAAGGGCUGGGGUUACAGGUGUGAGCAGUUCAGGGACUAAGAACACAGUCUUUGAAAUCAGACAGCUCCAACACUAUUAGCCCUGUGACUUUAUGCAAACUCACUUCUAUGGCCUUUAACGUUCUUAUUUGUAAAAUGGGGAUUCUAAUAGUAUUUAACUCAUAAGGUGGUUGUGAUAAUUAAAUGAAAUAAUGCAUGUAAAGCACUUAGCAUGGUGGCUAGAUUAAGGACUUAAUAAACAUUAGCUAUUACCA
RNA transcript from Symphalangus syndactylus (siamang), 6362 nucleotides. It is a transcript of the gene named platelet activating factor acetylhydrolase 2, with no coding region annotated. Lineage: Eukaryota; Metazoa; Chordata; Mammalia; Primates; Hylobatidae. The record is from RefSeq and is a predicted model, not a curated record.